GGUUAAGCGACUAAGCGUACACGGUGGAUGCCCUGGCAGUCAGAGGCGAUGAAGGACGUGCUAAUCUGCGAUAAGCGUCGGUAAGGUGAUAUGAACCGUUAUAACCGGCGAUUUCCGAAUGGGGAAACCCAGUGUGUUUCGACACACUAUCAUUAACUGAAUCCAUAGGUUAAUGAGGCGAACCGGGGGAACUGAAACAUCUAAGUACCCCGAGGAAAAGAAAUCAACCGAGAUUCCCCCAGUAGCGGCGAGCGAACGGGGAGCAGCCCAGAGCCUGAAUCAGUGUGUGUGUUAGUGGAAGCGUCUGGAAAGGCGCGCGAUACAGGGUGACAGCCCCGUACACAAAAAUGCACAUACUGUGAGCUCGAUGAGUAGGGCGGGACACGUGGUAUCCUGUCUGAAUAUGGGGGGACCAUCCUCCAAGGCUAAAUACUCCUGACUGACCGAUAGUGAACCAGUACCGUGAGGGAAAGGCGAAAAGAACCCCGGCGAGGGGAGUGAAAAAGAACCUGAAACCGUGUACGUACAAGCAGUGGGAGCACGCUUCGGCGUGUGACUGCGUACCUUUUGUAUAAUGGGUCAGCGACUUAUAUUCUGUAGCAAGGUUAACCGAAUAGGGGAGCCGAAGGGAAACCGAGUCUUAACUGGGCGUUAAGUUGCAGGGUAUAGACCCGAAACCCGGUGAUCUAGCCAUGGGCAGGUUGAAGGUUGGGUAACACUAACUGGAGGACCGAACCGACUAAUGUUGAAAAAUUAGCGGAUGACUUGUGGCUGGGGGUGAAAGGCCAAUCAAACCGGGAGAUAGCUGGUUCUCCCCGAAAGCUAUUUAGGUAGCGCCUCGUGAAUUCAUCUCCGGGGGUAGAGCACUGUUUCGGCAAGGGGGUCAUCCCGACUUACCAACCCGAUGCAAACUGCGAAUACCGGAGAAUGUUAUCACGGGAGACACACGGCGGGUGCUAACGUCCGUCGUGAAGAGGGAAACAACCCAGACCGCCAGCUAAGGUCCCAAAGUCAUGGUUAAGUGGGAAACGAUGUGGGAAGGCCCAGACAGCCAGGAUGUUGGCUUAGAAGCAGCCAUCAUUUAAAGAAAGCGUAAUAGCUCACUGGUCGAGUCGGCCUGCGCGGAAGAUGUAACGGGGCUAAACCAUGCACCGAAGCUGCGGCAGCGACACUAUGUGUUGUUGGGUAGGGGAGCGUUCUGUAAGCCUGUGAAGGUGUGCUGUGAGGCAUGCUGGAGGUAUCAGAAGUGCGAAUGCUGACAUAAGUAACGAUAAAGCGGGUGAAAAGCCCGCUCGCCGGAAGACCAAGGGUUCCUGUCCAACGUUAAUCGGGGCAGGGUGAGUCGACCCCUAAGGCGAGGCCGAAAGGCGUAGUCGAUGGGAAACAGGUUAAUAUUCCUGUACUUGGUGUUACUGCGAAGGGGGGACGGAGAAGGCUAUGUUGGCCGGGCGACGGUUGUCCCGGUUUAAGCGUGUAGGCUGGUUUUCCAGGCAAAUCCGGAAAAUCAAGGCUGAGGCGUGAUGACGAGGCACUACGGUGCUGAAGCAACAAAUGCCCUGCUUCCAGGAAAAGCCUCUAAGCAUCAGGUAACAUUAAAUCGUACCCCAAACCGACACAGGUGGUCAGGUAGAGAAUACCAAGGCGCUUGAGAGAACUCGGGUGAAGGAACUAGGCAAAAUGGUGCCGUAACUUCGGGAGAAGGCACGCUGAUAUGUAGGUGAAGUCCCUCGCGGAUGGAGCUGAAAUCAGUCGAAGAUACCAGCUGGCUGCAACUGUUUAUUAAAAACACAGCACUGUGCAAACACGAAAGUGGACGUAUACGGUGUGACGCCUGCCCGGUGCCGGAAGGUUAAUUGAUGGGGUUAGCGGUAACGCGAAGCUCUUGAUCGAAGCCCCGGUAAACGGCGGCCGUAACUAUAACGGUCCUAAGGUAGCGAAAUUCCUUGUCGGGUAAGUUCCGACCUGCACG
RNAcentral lists this ribosomal RNA (1969 nucleotides) under Escherichia coli. RNAcentral's name for it is "partial 23S ribosomal RNA". It matches the Rfam family "Bacterial large subunit ribosomal RNA", at positions 1 to 1994 of the family's 2925-position model. Lineage: Bacteria; Pseudomonadati; Pseudomonadota; Gammaproteobacteria; Enterobacterales; Enterobacteriaceae. The record is from RNAcentral.